Molecule: non-coding RNA, 641 nt
Organism: Theobroma cacao (cacao)
Lineage: Eukaryota; Viridiplantae; Streptophyta; Magnoliopsida; Malvales; Malvaceae
Source: RefSeq, a predicted model, not a curated record
UUGACAAGCACAAAAUGGAUAAGGAUGGUCGGGAAGAAUAACAAGAAAAAGGGAGAAAGGCUGAACUUUGAGGAGACAAAACGGGAAAGAGAGAGAGAGAGCUGGUGAGAAAGAAAAAUUUAUUUUCUCAUGUUGCUGCCGACAGCCACUUACGGAGAAAAAAAAAAAGGGAAAGGAGCUGAUUUUGAGAGAGGAAAGGGGGCUGAUUUGCUGCCGAUUUAAGGAGGAAAAAGGAGGCUGUGUGCUGUCGAUUUUUGAGAGGAAAAAGGGGCUUUGUGCUACUGGAUUUUGAGGAAGGAAAAGAGAGGAAGCUGGGUUUUUGGGGUGCUGUCGACCAUGAGAGAGAAAGGACGAAACUGUGGCUGGCGUUGAGAGUGAAGGAGGUAUGAUGGUGGCUGCAAAUAUGGUAAAAAAAAAAAAGAGCAGAAGAGAGAGAGAAAGAAACGGGAAAAGAAAGAAAGAAAAAAAGUGACAAAGAUCAGCCUAGCAUGUAAUCAUCAGCACGUUCGGUUCACCACAAAUAGGUAAAGGUAUCUCAUAGCAUUUUAUCCUGAGUCGCUCCGCUGUUAGAAGUUGAGUUAUAGUACUUUGGUUUUACUAUGUAAACGAAUAUUAGUUUGGAUAUAAACGAAAAUUUGAGA